GAAGGUGGCCUGUGAGGGUUGCUGGAGGUAUCAGAAGUGCGAAUGCUGACAUAAGUAACGAUAAAGCGGGUGAAAAGCCCGCUCGCCGGAAGACCAAGGGUUCCUGUCCAACGUUAAUCGGGGCAGGGUGAGUCGACCCCUAAGGCGAGGCCGAAAGGCGUAGUCGAUGGGAAACGGGUUAAUAUUCCCGUACUUGGUGUUACUGCGAAGGGGGGACGGAGAAGGCUAUGUUGGCCGGGCGACGGUUGUCCCGGUUUAAGCGUGUAGGUGUGUGUUCCAGGUAAAUCCGGUUCACUUUAACACUGAGGCGUGACGACGAGGCACUACGGUGCUGAAGCAACAAAUGCCCUGCUUCCAGGAAAAGCCUCUAAGCAUCAGGUAACAUCAAAUCGUACCCCAAACCGACACAGGUGGUCAGGUAGAGAAUACCAAGGCGCUUGAGAGAACUCGGGUGAAGGAACUAGGCAAAAUGGUGCCGUAACUUCGGGAGAAGGCACGCUGACACGUAGGUGAAGUGAUUUACUCAUGGAGCUGAAGUCAGUCGAAGAUACCAGCUGGCUGCAACUGUUUAUUAAAAACACAGCACUGUGCAAACACGAAAGUGGACGUAUACGGUGUGACGCCUGCCCGGUGCCGGAAGGUUAAUUGAUGGGGUCAGCGCAAGCGAAGCUCCUGAUCGAAGCCCCGGUAAACGGCGGCCGUAACUAUAACGGUCCUAAGGUAGCGAAAUUCCUUGUCGGGUAAGUUCCGACCUGCACGAAUGGCGUAAUGAUGGCCAGGCUGUCUCCACCCGAGACUCAGUGAAAUUGAACUCGCUGUGAAGAUGCAGUGUACCCGCGGCAAGACGGAAAGACCCCGUGAACCUUUACUAUAGCUUGACACUGAACAUUGAGCCUUGAUGUGUAGGAUAGGUGGGAGGCUUUGAAGCGUGGACGCCAGUCUGCGUGGAGCCGACCUUGAAAUACCACCCUUUAAUGUUUGAUGUUCUAACGUGGACCCGUUACCCGGGUUGCGGACAGUGUCUGGUGGGUAGUUUGACUGGGGCGGUCUCCUCCUAAAGAGUAACGGAGGAGCACGAAGGUUGGCUAAUCCUGGUCGGACAUCAGGAGGUUAGUGCAAUGGCAUAAGCCAGCUUGACUGCGAGCGUGACGGCGCGAGCAGGUGCGAAAGCAGGUCAUAGUGAUCCGGUGGUUCUGAAUGGAAGGGCCAUCGCUCAACGGAUAAAAGGUACUCCGGGGAUAACAGGCUGAUACCGCCCAAGAGUUCAUAUCGACGGCGGUGUUUGGCACCUCGAUGUCGGCUCAUCACAUCCUGGGGCUGAAGUAGGUCCCAAGGGUAUGGCUGUUCGCCAUUUAAAGUGGUACGCGAGCUGGGUUUAGAACGUCGUGAGACAGUUCGGUCCCUAUCUGCCGUGGGCGCUGGAGAACUGAGGGGGGCUGCUCCUAGUACGAGAGGACCGGAGUGGACGCAUCACUGGUGUUCGGGUUGUCAUGCCAAUGGCACUGCCCGGUAGCUAAAUGCGGAAGAGAUAAGUGCUGAAAGCAUCUAAGCACGAAACUUGCCCCGAGAUGAGUUCUCCCUGAGACUUAAAGUCUCCUGAAGGAACGUUGAAGACGACGACGUUGAUAGGCCGGGUGUGUAAGCGCAGCGAUGCGUUGAGCUAACCGGUACUAAUGAACCGUGAGGCUUAACCUUACAACGCCGAAG
RNAcentral lists this ribosomal RNA (1707 nucleotides) under Salmonella enterica subsp. enterica. RNAcentral's name for it is "bacterial LSU rRNA". It matches the Rfam family "Bacterial large subunit ribosomal RNA", at positions 1252 to 2925 of the family's 2925-position model. RNAcentral also lists the same sequence under 1 other name. The record is from RNAcentral. Lineage: Bacteria; Pseudomonadati; Pseudomonadota; Gammaproteobacteria; Enterobacterales; Enterobacteriaceae.